Molecule: ribosomal RNA, 325 nt
Filed under: uncultured bacterium
Lineage: Bacteria
Description: bacterial SSU rRNA
Rfam family: Bacterial small subunit ribosomal RNA
Source: RNAcentral
GAUGAACGCUGGCGGCGUGCCUAACACAUGCAAGUCGAGCGAAGCGCCUUACUUGAUUUCUUCGGGAUGAAAGUAUUGUGACUGAGCGGCGGACGGGUGAGUAACGCGUGGAUAACCUGCCUCAUACAGGGGGAUAACAGUUAGAAAUGACUGCUAAUACCGCAUAAGACCACAGCACCGCAUGGUGCAAGGGGUAAAAACUCCGGUGGUAUGAGAUGGAUCCGCGUCUGAUUAGCUAGUUGGUAAGGUAACGGCUUACCAAGGCAACGAUCAGUAGCCGGACUGAGAGGUUGAACGGCCACAUUGGGACUGAGACACGGCCCAG